CGGUUCGAGUCCGCUUACCUCCACUGAUCAAUCUCCUGACAACUAACUCGAAGGAGAUAGGCUUUGCUUGAUGUGACUUAGAUUUGGUUGAUUGAAUGAACCUAGCUUCCUAUCAUUCCGACCUUAAGAAAUAGAACUUAGAGAAGGUUGAUAUGACACUGGGCUCACUGGAAUUCUGAGGAAUUUCAGGAAAGUUCAGUA
RNAcentral lists this unclassified non-coding RNA (201 nucleotides) under uncultured cyanobacterium. Its description in RNAcentral is "partial 16S-23S ribosomal RNA intergenic spacer". The record is from RNAcentral. Lineage: Bacteria; Bacillati; Cyanobacteriota.